AAACCAACAGGGAUUGCCUCAGUAACGGCGAGUGAAGCGGCAAAAGCUCAAAUUUGAAAUCCCCCGGGAAUUGUAAUUUGAAGGACCUAUUAAAACCCUGAGAGAGCCCAAAGUCCAUUGGAAAAUGGCGCCAUAGAAGGUGAUAGCCCUGUGUGGACCUCUCUCAGCAUACUUUUUAGGCCCAAAGAGUCGAGUUGUUUGGGAAUGCAGCUCUAAGUGGGUGGUAAAUUCCAUCUAAAGCUAAAUAUUGGCGAGAGACCGAUAGCGAACAAGUACAGUGAUGGAAAGAUGAAAAGCACUUUGAAAAGAGAGUGAAAAAGUACGUGAAAUUGUUGAAAGGGAAGGGCUUGCAAGCAGACACAACCUCGGUUGGGCCAGCAUCGGGGCGGGGGGAAACAAAAAAGGUGUGGAAUGUGGCUCUUACGAGUGUUAUAGCCCCACCCAAUAUUUCCAUCCCAUCCCGAGGCCUGCGAUUCUUCAAGGAUGCUGGCGUAAUGGUUGCAAGUCGCCCGUCUUGA
Molecule: ribosomal RNA, 518 nt
Filed under: Metschnikowia sp. (in: budding yeasts & allies)
Lineage: Eukaryota; Fungi; Ascomycota; Pichiomycetes; Serinales; Metschnikowiaceae
Description: eukaryotic LSU rRNA
Rfam family: Eukaryotic large subunit ribosomal RNA
Source: RNAcentral